CAAUUACAGAUGCAAGUUCUUCAGUAGAGCAGAUAACAGUGAACAAUCAGGCAAAAGGACUUCAUAUAAUGCGGUCACAUAUUUUCCUGGAAAAUAAUAAUGUAAAGAGUAGUGGUUAUAAUUAAGGUAACAACAAAAACAGAACUAAAAAGGACUUGAAACUGAAAACUAGCCAGUGUGAUAUUAUUUCUUGUAAGGCUCACCUGACAUUUUCAGAUCAGAACUCUGCCUGUUUAUGCCUUCAGAACAUUAACAAUAAUGAUUACUUUUUUUUUUUUUUUUUUUUUUUUUUAAGAAAACAGGGUGGAAACAACACACAUUAACAAAGUGAUCAACUUUACAAGAUGAGAAGUGGGAUGUGGGAACAAGUUAUAUAGAACAAGGACUAAGAACAUGGAAUUGACAGAAUGCUGCUAUGUCAGCUGACCCAAUGCGGUACCAAUAACGAGUAGUAUGGAUAUAAUGAGCCAGUCCUGGCAGAAGACUGAGCUGACAAUGAAGACUGGCUUGACUCAAGGUCGCCAUACAAGGGCAUAAGUCAGUUUUGUGUUUUGACAUCAGUGGCUAGACUUAUUACGCAAGGUGGGUAUCUGGUGCAUGUGAUUACCAGUAGCGCGUGUGUUUUAAUAAUUUUAUUCCCAUUCCUGUCUUUGAGAUGGCUGCUGAGCAAAUACACCUGAUUAACUGAACAUUAGCAAGUUUCUCCACCUUAUAAAAGGAGACAUUUAGGAGUUUGUUGGUUGGGGCACUCAAAAAGGUGUUAUCACAAUAUCACAAUCUUCCCAAGACUGAACAUUCAAGCAACUUUACCCCAAGGUCAUUGCAGUGCAACGCUCAGAGAAACAGCAGAAAUCCCAAGAGCUACAUUUCAGACUCUACAGCCCUCAAUUACCAUGUAAAACAUUAAAUUUAAAUUAAAAAAAAAAUACUGGCUCGUGACAUCAUAGCAGGGUUUGGGUUUGCAACGUUGCUUCUGACCAAGUCACAAGUUUUCUACAACAAUGUUCUUUGGACAAAUGAGACCAGAGUUGAGAUGUUUGGCUAUAAUGCACAGUGGGACACAGUUAGGUCAUAUACCAACAACAUUCCUAGACUAACAGAAAGAAAUCAAGUUGUGUAAUCUCACAUACUGGGCAAUGCACAAUUGGGUCAAAAAAAGAAAAAAAAAUGUAAAAUAUAUACAGUGGGGCAAAAAAAUAUUUAGUCAGCCACCGAUUGUGCAAGUUCCCCCACUUAAAAUGAUGACAGAGGUCAGUAAUUUGCACCAGAGGUACACUUCAACUGUGAG
Astatotilapia calliptera (eastern happy) is the source of this 1288-nucleotide long non-coding RNA. NCBI's taxonomy places the organism in Eukaryota, Metazoa, Chordata, Actinopteri, Cichliformes, Cichlidae. The record is from Ensembl.